GAUGAACGCUGGCGGCGUGCCUAAUACAUGCAAGUCGAGCGAACAGAUGAGGAGCUUGCUCCUCUGACGUUAGCGGCGGACGGGUGAGUAACACGUGGAUAACCUACCUAUAAGACUGGGAUAACUUCGGGAAACCGGUGCUAAUACCGUAUAAUAUAUUGAACCGCAUGGUUCAAUAGUGAAAUACGGUUUUGUUGUCACUUAUAGAUGUAUCCGCGACGCAUUAGCUAGUUGGUAAGGUAACGGCUUACCAAGGCAACGAUGCGUAGCCGACCUGCGAGUGUGAUAGGCCACACUGGAACUGAGACACGGUCCAGACUCCGACGGGAGGCAGCAGUAGGGAAUCUUACGCAAUGGGCGAGAGCCUGACGGAGCAACGACGCGUGAGUGAUGAAGGUCUUCGGAUCGUAAAACUCUGUUAGUAGGGAAGAACAAAUGUGUAAGAAACUAUGCACGUCUUGACGGUACCUAAUCAGAAAGCCACGGCUAACUACGUG
RNAcentral lists this ribosomal RNA (497 nucleotides) under uncultured bacterium. RNAcentral's name for it is "partial 16S ribosomal RNA". It matches the Rfam family "Bacterial small subunit ribosomal RNA", at positions 28 to 507 of the family's 1533-position model. The record is from RNAcentral.